ACUCCUACGGGAGGCUGCAGUGGGGAAUAUUGCACAAUGGGCGAAAGCCUGAUGCAGCAACGCCGCGUGAGGGACGAAGGCCUUCGGGUUGUAAACCUCUUUUAGUAGGGAAGAAGGGAGCUUGCUCUUGACGGUACCUGCAGAAAAAGCACCGGCUAACUACGUGCCAGCAGCCGCGGUAAUACGUAGGGUGCAAGCGUUAUCCGGAAUUAUUGGGCGUAAAGAGCUCGUAGGCGGUUUGUCGCGUCUGCUGUGAAAACUGGAGGCUCAACCUCCAGCCUGCAGUGGGUACGGGCAGACUAGAGUGCGGUAGGGGAGAUUGGAAUUCCUGGUGUAGCGGCGGAAUGCGCAGAUAUCAGGAGGAACACCAAUGGCGAAGGCAGACCUCUGGGCCGUAACUGACGCUGAGGAGCGAAAGCAUGGGGAGCGAACAGGAUUAGAUACCCUGGUAGUCCAUGCCGUAAACGUUGGGAACUAGAUGUAGGGUCCAUUCCACGGAUUCUGUGUCGCAGCUAACGCAUUAAGUUCCCCGCCUGGGGAGUACGGCCGCAAGGCUAAAACUCAAAGGAAUUGACGGGGGCCCGCACAAGCGGCGGAGCAUGCGGAUUAAUUCGAUGCAACGCGAAGAACCUUACCAAGGCUUGACAUAUACCGGAAACGGCUGGAAAC
RNAcentral lists this ribosomal RNA (669 nucleotides) under uncultured bacterium. RNAcentral describes it as "bacterial SSU rRNA". It matches the Rfam family "Bacterial small subunit ribosomal RNA", at positions 335 to 1007 of the family's 1533-position model. The record is from RNAcentral.